AACCAGACGCCAAUAUUGUCCCUUUCUUCCCCAUCUACAACUCCUCACCUCUCCUCACCUCUAACAGCAGUCUUGUUUCAAAAUUAGGGUUUUGAUCACUGGAAUUCAUCUUUAUCGAAUCACAGCAUCACCGACAAGGAACAAUAAGCGCUUGAGGUCGCUACAUUUUCCUUCUGGGUAUUGCCCUUUCGUCUUUUCUCUCACAUUUUCUGCGAUAUUCUAUUUCUUUACUCUCGUGGGUUUUGGAUUUCUUUAUUUUCCCGAGAAACUACAGGAAAAUAAUUAGAAAUAAAAAAAGAAAAAUUUAAGAUUAGAUGUUUUGGUUAUCUGGGUACUCAAAAUCAAGUUGUUGAGAUUGUAUUGGUGAUUUUGUUUAAUUUGAUGCGCGCGAAGAUUUUCUGAAUUGAGGAAAAUGGCAUGCCAUGCAAUUCAAUCGUGGACGUUUACUGGGCUAGUGGGUGGUUUUCUUGAUCUUGCUAUUGCUUUCCUUUUACUCUGUGGGUCAGCUCUUGUUUUCUUUGCCUCGAAAAUUUUGGGGGUUUUUGGUCUUCGUCUGCCAUGUCCUUGUGAUGGGCUUUUUGGCAACGUCAAUAGUAAUAAUUGCUUGCAGAGACGAUUAGUGGAUUACCCGUUAGAGAGAGUCUCUGCUGUUCAACUCUCAGUGAAGAGCAAGUUUCCUUUUGACUCAAUAUGGUCAAAGGAUCAAGGUUGUGAAUUGAAUUUGAAGCUCCUUGUGAAGAACAUUGAUGUUGAAGGGUGUGUUGAAUUGGAAGGAGAAGGGUUAUGCACAUCGUUUUCAGAUGCCAAGAAUACGCAGAACUUAGAUUUUAAAGACCCCGUUCAGAAAACUGAGUUUGGAGAAGUAAACUUCUCCACAACAAAAGAAAAAGGGUUUGAUAUCAAGGGGAAGGGCCCGACAAAUCAGAGGCCAAGAUCAAGUCUUAGGCAGCGCCGCAAAAGUGCUGUUGAUAAUGGAAAUUUUGGGUCAUCUGAGCCUUUGCAGUCAGAAAUGCUAUCUGCAUUACAGUUUCCUUCUGGAAUUGACACCAAUACUUUGGGGAAUGAAGUUAAAGAAGAGCAUGUGAAUUAUGAAGGGGAGACUCCCAUGGUCAUUAAUUGUGGGGAGAGAGCUUCACACGACUUUGAAUUGAAUGGACCUCUUGAAGAAAAUAAGCUUAUUGAUAAGGGUCCAUCAUUUGUUGAAGAAUUCAGAUGCAAUGCACAUGAUGAGUCAGGGUUUGAUGGCAAUGAUAAGAAUGCACUUAGAGUCUUAGAACAAGCACUCGAAGAAGAGCAAGCGGCUCGUGCUGCUCUGUAUCUUGAGCUUGAGAAAGAGAGAAGUGCAGCUGCUACUGCUGCUGAUGAGGCCAUGGCAAUGAUUUUGCGUUUACAAGAGGAGAAAGCAUCAGUCGAAAUGGAAGCUAUGCAGUAUGAAAGAUUAAUAGAAGAAAAAUCUGCUUAUGAUGCUGAAGAAAUGAACAUUCUUAAAGAAAUCCUUCUAAGAAGAGAGAGGGAAAAGUAUUUUUUGGAGAAGGAAGUUGAAGCUUAUAGGCAGAUGAUGUUUUCUAAGAGUGAACAAUUGGAGAAUGGAGUGCAUGGUAUAGCAGACAUGGAAGGAAAAAUGCUUAAUUCAAGUGAGGAUUCAGAAGCAUUGCUGCAUCAGCUUAGUGAAUCUAUCAGCAGCAAGGAAACUGUAAAUACCUCAAUGAAGUUUGCAGAUUACAAUGUGACAUCUGUUGAAAAUCAAAAUUGUAUUCUUUCUUUUGAGAAAGAAUUACCAAUUCCAGAAAGGGAUGAAGUUGUUGAAUUAUCCAAACAGGAACAUACUCAUGAUCUGCUAAAUGUUAACAAACUUCAUCCCUACAUAUCAAGAUUCUGCAAUGAUUGCAAUCAAGAGUUUCAGGAGAAGGGUGUGGUAUCCAUGGAUGGGAAUCUAUCUGCUCAAGAAAAGGUAGGGCAAAAAAUUGGGGCAUGUUUACAGUUUUGCGACUCAAGUAGUCCCAAACAAGAUUAUCAUCUUGAGAAAACCAUUGUAUUUGUGAGGGAAGACCAAGAGCAAAAUAGCAUUGCCAAUCUGUGCCUAGGAAGUGCAGAAAUGACUAAUGAAACUCAGAAGAAAGCUGAGAUGUGUAUUCUGUGUGAUGCUGAAAACCUCAGAAAGCAGAGAGAAGUUGUCGAUGGGAGAAGCAAAGACCCACAUAACCCAAUAUUUGAUAUAGAGCCUCAUGUUCACGAUGUUCAUGUAAUUGAUGAUGAGUCCAAUCCUUUUAAUGCAGUCGGUGAAAACAAAAGCGAACCCACUUCAAUUGAUGCUACCUCUAUAAUCUCAAGGGAAUGUGAUAUGGCAUCUGAACCUUUUGACAUCCAGUUGGAAACCAGGCCAGAUAUUUGCAAAAGCAGCUCAGGCAUAACCAGAGGGUUGCCUCUCUCAAAAAGAAAAGCUUUAAUUUCUGAUGUACGGAGAAAUUCCAUGUCUGCACUUGACUAUGAAAAAUUGAAGAUUGUCACUGAAGUUGGGUGGCUCCGAGACAGGCUAAGGAUUGUACAAGAGGGGAGGGAGAAGCUCAACUUCUCUGUGGAGCCUAGGGAAAGGGAAAAUGUUCAGUUGCAACUCUUAGAGGAUAUAGUGAGCCAGCUUCGUGAGAUUCGGCAGCUAACAGAACCUGGGAAGGCUUUGCGACAAAUUUCAUUGCCCCCUCCAUCCGCUAAGGUUCUGUCAAAGAAAAGGCGCUGCCGAAGCGUAUCUUUAGGUGUGCGUCAAAGUGCCUAAACUCAGGAACAUCUUCAAGAAGCAGGUGAUAAAGUCCUCUUCAAUGUCAUGUUGGUCAUUAAUCCAGCGCAGGAAGGGGUAAUCCCUUAACAUGAAUUUUCCAUGCUAGCUUCAAGGAUCACCUUGCAGCUUGCUAUAUUUCUUGUCCAUUGUACUUCAAUUUAAAUGGUUUUGGAGAACUCUUAAAACUCUCCGUAAGCGUUUGGAAGUAUUAGACUAUGAUUUGAUUCAAUUACUGGUAGUUGUCUGAAAGUGUUGGUCAAGGAAUGACACCUUUCCACACUAGCUUAGCAAAUAAGCAAUGUGUUAGCAGUUGACAGUGUGACCUCGGUUAAAUGGGGAGGAGAGAUGUCUUCACUUGCCCUCGUUAGGGAUUUUUAUAAUGGAUGUUGAAUAACUAGGAUGAUGGCUUGUGUGGUUGUCUUGUUGAUUGAAAAUAACAACUAGUUCCACAUGUCAUUGAGUAUGAAGGUUGUUUGUUUUCAUGAA
RNA transcript from Malania oleifera, 3259 nucleotides. It is a transcript of the gene named probable myosin-binding protein 5, with no coding region annotated. Lineage: Eukaryota; Viridiplantae; Streptophyta; Magnoliopsida; Santalales; Ximeniaceae. The record is from RefSeq and is a predicted model, not a curated record. The transcript is spliced from 5 exons.